This 497-nucleotide RNase P RNA is filed under the name Candidatus Omnitrophota bacterium. RNAcentral's name for it is "Candidatus Omnitrophica bacterium (groundwater metagenome) RNase P RNA component class A". It matches the Rfam family "Bacterial RNase P class A". From Rfam's summary of the family: Ribonuclease P (RNase P) is a ubiquitous endoribonuclease, found in archaea, bacteria and eukarya as well as chloroplasts and mitochondria. The record is from RNAcentral. Lineage: Bacteria; Pseudomonadati; Candidatus Omnitrophota.
GUAGCUGGAUGGUCGCCCCACACCCAGAAAUACCACGGCAUUGAGGUGGCGUACCGGACGUGAACGUCGUCCGGGUUCAUCGAAGUGACCCGUGGUACUGCUGGGUGUGGGGAGGAAAGUCCGAGCUCCGCAGGGCAGCGUACCCCGAUAACGUCGGGGCCUUCCUCGAAAGGGGUUGAGGAUGCCCCGCCAAACGGCGGGGACUCGCCGAGUCAUCGGUGAGAGAGCCACAGAGACGAGUACCCCCGCGGUUAGAUUUCGAGCCGAAGGGCGAGAAAUCUGCGGGGGGAGGUGAAACGCGGCAAUCUCUACGUGGAGCAAGGCCAAACGCGCCGACACCCGAAAGGGAUACGGUAGCCCACCGAACAGUCGGGGAGGUAGGCCGCAGGAGUCCCGUCGCAAGGCGGGAACUAGAUGGAUGACCAUCGGCCGUCGCUUCGCGACGGAGCAAUCCCGAGCGGAGCGAGGGUCACAGAACUCGGCUUACAGUUCCAUUA